UUUCCAAGAGGUUUGUGCUGUGUUUGGGGAUUUCUGUCAUAUAGUAUUUCUAAGAGAAGCAUAGUAACAGGAAGGACUAGGCAUGGAAUCUCGAGUGUUCCAAACCCUCAGGACAAUGGGAACAUCAGGAGGUGAGAUCCAGUGGGUCAUUCUCAGCCUUUGUGUCUGCAGAGGGGAGGGAAGCUCACCCAGGGCUCAGAACAUUCCUGAAGUGUCUACCAAGUCUUGAGUCUGGGCACCUUCACCAGGCCCCCACAAAUUAACCAUUGUGGCAUGAAUGAGGUUAUCUCUCCAGGCAAAUGGCAUGUCCAAGGACAGACUGGGCCACCAAAAAAAACUCAAGACAAUCUCACUGUCACUUCCCGCAGGAGAGCUGGGGUGGAAGCAAAGUCUAAGCAGGCAUCUCAGUUUCAGGCACAAGUAGACCCUGGAGGCGCAGGGGCUUUCCAGACCAGGGGCCUCUGAAAGCAUCCCUGGCCCCUUGUAGCCUGGCUGUCCAGCCUGGGGAGCUGCUGGUCAUGUCCUGCUACCUCACAAGGUGACAAAGAGCACAUCUGCCUUCAGCUCCCCUCCAGGACAGGGCAAGUGGCUGGCCUACUGCUCCCCUGCCUGACCUAGUCCUGCUUUCCAUUCUGCCUCAGAACUGGUCAGCCACCAGCAGCUGCCAGGGUGUCUCAUGGUUGGGGGGAGGUGGACGCUGCCUGCCUCAGUGGUGCCUUCUGUUAAAAUGCAGAUUCCCAGGCUUUGCCCCUGGGGACCUUGGAGUGGGACCCAGGAAUCUGCAUCUUCUAAAGGCUCACCAGGUUAUUCUGAUGAUCCUGGAGUAUGAGAACCAGCACCUUAGGCUACCAGUCACCAAUAUGACUGUCCCUAACAGGUGAGCCAGCAGCUUUGGGACUUGAACACGUAAGGAGGAGCAUUAUGG
RNAcentral lists this long non-coding RNA (925 nucleotides) under Marmota monax (woodchuck). Lineage: Eukaryota; Metazoa; Chordata; Mammalia; Rodentia; Sciuridae. The record is from RNAcentral.